CGGAGUUGUUUUUUUUUUUUUCUUUCUUUCCCCUGCAAUUUUUUUUUUUUUUUAAACCAUCCAGAGGUAGUUCUCCAGAUCCGACCGCCUCUCCUCGCCUCGCUCACUGAUGGAGAGACCCAGCCUUGACGACCCUCCCUACCCUCCACCCUGCUGCCGGCUCGCGUUCUCCCUCUUCAUACGGCGGCUGCGGUAACUGGAAAAACACCGGGGCAGCGGGCUGGGGGCCGGCAGCUGCAGCUCCGCGGCUCCGGCAGCCCCUUCUCCCCCUUCCUUCCCCGUUUCCCUUCAUCCCCCCGCUGCUAAUUGCAGCCCGCUUCGACCGAGCGCAGCGCCCCGCCUCGCCGCCGCUCCGCGCCGCUGCGCGCCCUCUUCGCCGCUGCGCGACUUGGGUUCUCGCCUUCCUCGGCCGCUUCGUGCCCAUCACUACACGUAGUGCGCACUCCCGCUCUGUGCUUUUAAUGGCUACCCCUCCUAUACAUUUUUUUCCUUGCUCUUUUUCUCCCACCCCUUCGGCAAGUAAUGAGUUUGUUUGUUUGUUUUAA
Molecule: long non-coding RNA, 545 nt
Filed under: Cairina moschata (Muscovy duck)
Lineage: Eukaryota; Metazoa; Chordata; Aves; Anseriformes; Anatidae
Description: domestica (muscovy Duck (domestic type)) lncRNA (ENSCMMG00000006719.1)
Source: RNAcentral